UACGUAGGGUGGGAGAGUUGUCCGGAAUUACUGGGCGUAAAGAGCUCGUAGGUGGUUUGUCGCGUAGUUCGUGAAAACUCACAGCUUAACUGUGGGCGUGCGGGCGAUACGGGCAGACUGGAGUACUGAAGGGGAGACUGGAAUUCCUGGUGUAGCGGUGGACUGCGCAGAUAUCAGGAGGAACACCGGUGGCGAAGGCGGGUCUCUGGGCAGUAACUGACGCUGAGGAGCGAAAGCGUGGGGAGCGAACAGG
Molecule: ribosomal RNA, 253 nt
Filed under: uncultured bacterium
Lineage: Bacteria
Description: partial 16S ribosomal RNA
Rfam family: Bacterial small subunit ribosomal RNA
Source: RNAcentral